CAGGCCUAACACAUGCAAGUCGAGGGGCAUCACAUGAAGUAGCAAUACGGAUGGUGGCGACCGGCGCACGGGUGAGUAACACGUAUGCAACCUGCCUUCAACAAGGGGAUAACCCGUUGAAAGACGGACUAAUACCCUAUAACACAGGGGCCCCGCAUGGGGAUAUUUGUUAAAGAUUAAUCGGUUGAAGAUGGGCAUGCGUUCCAUUAGCUUGUUGGUGGGGUAAGGGCCCACCAAGGCAACGAUGGAUAGGGGAACUGAGAGGUUUAUCCCCCACACUGGUACUGAGACACGGACCAGACUCCUACGGGAGGCAGCAGUGAGGAAUAUUGGUCAAUGGACGCAAGUCUGAACCAGCCACGUCGCGUGAAGGAAGACGGCCCUACGGGUUGUAAACUUCUUUU
RNAcentral lists this ribosomal RNA (404 nucleotides) under uncultured bacterium. RNAcentral describes it as "bacterial SSU rRNA". It matches the Rfam family "Bacterial small subunit ribosomal RNA", at positions 43 to 437 of the family's 1533-position model. The record is from RNAcentral.